This 492-nucleotide ribosomal RNA is filed under the name uncultured bacterium. RNAcentral's name for it is "partial 16S ribosomal RNA". It matches the Rfam family "Bacterial small subunit ribosomal RNA", at positions 29 to 507 of the family's 1533-position model. The record is from RNAcentral.
AGUGAACGCUGGCGGUAGGCCUAACACAUGCAAGUCGAACGGCAGCACAGUAAGAGCUUGCUCUUACGGGUGGCGAGUGGCGGACGGGUGAGGAAUACAUCGGAAUCUACUUUUUCGUGGGGGAUAACGUAGGGAAACUUACGCUAAUACCGCAUACGACCUACGGGUGAAAGCAGGGGAUCCUCGGACCUUGCGCGAUUGAAUGAGCCGAUGUCGGAUUAGCUAGUUGGCGGGGUAAAGGCCCACCAAGGCGACGAUCCGUAGCUGGUCUGAGAGGAUGAUCAGCCACACUGGAACUGAGACACGGUCCAGACUCCUACGGGAGGCAGCAGUGGAGAAUAUUGGACAAUGGGCGCAAGCCUGAUCCAGCCAUACCGCGUGGGUGAAGAAGGCCUUCGGGUUGUAAAGCCCUUUUGUUGGGAAAGAAAAGCAGCAGGUUAAUACCCCGCUGUUCUGACGGUACCCAAAGAAUAAGCACCGGCUAACUUCGUG